Long non-coding RNA from Eutrema salsugineum, 352 nucleotides. RefSeq lists it as uncharacterized. The record is from RefSeq and is a predicted model, not a curated record. The transcript has 3 exons. Lineage: Eukaryota; Viridiplantae; Streptophyta; Magnoliopsida; Brassicales; Brassicaceae.
CGACGUUGUCGAAAUCUCACCAUGGACCCGCGACACGCGUCUCUAGUACGCGGCACGCCGGACUGUAAGGAUCUCCGUUUUCGCCGUCUUUAGUUCUUCAUCUUCCUCGUCUGACGUAUUUCACAUCGUCGCUUGCUUCUUUGGGGCCAAAUCUUAGAGAAAUUCAAAAUCCCGCCGAUUUUAUCAGGGAAUCUGAGAGUGAAAAUCGAAUUCUCUGAGAUUCGCUGACAAAGGCAGCUUUGGGUCGAGAUUGUUGCCGGAAACAGCCACGGUGAAAGACUGCUUCUCGUUCACAGACUUCAUUGAUAGAACACUAGGGGAUACCUUAACACUUAGUUUAGAUCCGUGAUUC